Non-coding RNA from Nelumbo nucifera (sacred lotus), 2491 nucleotides. Lineage: Eukaryota; Viridiplantae; Streptophyta; Magnoliopsida; Proteales; Nelumbonaceae. The record is from RefSeq and is a predicted model, not a curated record.
CGCGUGUGGGAGAAAGGGAGGAGCUGAUGAGAGAGAGUUGUCUCCGUUUCUUCAACGAAGAUAAACUGAAGCUCGCAAUUUCAUCAUCGACUCUCUGACUUUGAGACAUCGUUUGACUCAUUCAAUAUUGGGACGACGAUCCCCAGAUAUCGGAAAGAACGAAGAAAGAGAGAAACAGACAAACAGGCCACUAAGAAGAUUCUGCAGAGGCCAAUCUGCGGGGGACCUUAGCUUCUGCAAAUUCACUUUUGUUUUAAUGGCCGAAAGGAUGCAUUAGACCUCUCUCUCUCUCAAUCUUUUUCGAGGUGGAUUUUGUUCGCGAGGAGGAGCAAUUCAUUGAUUUGAGGUUUUCUUUGUGGUAGUAUGCGAAUUAAUGCAGCUUCUCAAUUCUGGGACUUGGUUUUGUCUGAUAUCAUUGGAAUCCACUGUUAUAGGCUUUGGUUGAUUGGUUUUGAAUGGUUUGGUGAGAAAUAAGGGGUGAUUAGUUCAUUUUGUUGAUGAUGAAGAGGUGAGAAGAUUGGAAGCUGGAUUGUUUUGGGGGGAAUUUUUGUUUAGGAGCUUGAAAUGGAUUUGUUUUGUUGGAUUUUUCAUUUUGGAGGUUGAAUAGAGGGGUUUAAAUUUAGGAUGGAUGGAUCUCAGGGCAGCUCCAAUGUGCCACCUCCUUUUCUUACGAAGACGUAUGAGAUGGUGGAUGACCCAUCCACCAAUUCAGUUGUCUCGUGGAGUCCAAAUAACAGAAGUUUCAUUGUGUGGAACCCUCCUGAAUUUUCAAGAGAUUUGUUACCCAAGUACUUCAAGCACAAUAAUUUCUCCAGCUUUGUCAGACAACUUAACACAUAUGGGUUCAGAAAAGUUGAUCCUGAUCAGUGGGAAUUUGCAAAUGAGGAUUUUAUAAGAGGUCAAAGGCACCUUCUGAAGAAUAUCUAUCGGCGCAAGCCAGUCCACAGCCAUUCUCAACAGAAUCAAGGAAAUUCUACUGGCUUAAGUGAAUCAGAAAGGCAGGAUCUUGAAGAGGAAAUUGAAAGGCUGAAGCAUGAGAAAAGUAUGCUUGUUAUGGACCUACAGAAGCAUACACAGGAGCAUCAAGGAAUUGAGCUGCAAAUGCUGUCCUUGGAGCAACAUUUACAUAAAUUGCAGCAUCACCAGCGGCAAAUAAUUUCUUUCUUGUCUCAAAUCCUUCAGAAACCUGGUUUUGACUCCAAUCUCAUGCAAGAGCCAGAAAACUACAAGAAGAAAAGAAGGUUGCCUAAACUUGACUACUUAUAUGAUGAAGCUGAUGUAGAAGAGAACCAGGUAUUGACCUUUCAGAAGGAGAAGUCUGAUGUUAUAUCAAUGCCAGUAAUAGACAUUGAACCGUUUGAAAGGUUGGAGUCAUCAUUGAAUUCUUGGGAGAACUUUCUACAGGAUGUUGGCCAAGCUUCUGGUGAGGAAAUGUCUCCUGUUGGAGCAGUUUUGCAGCCUUAUACAGUUGUUUUUACAGAAAUAGAUGCAUCAUCUGGAGAUCCAAACAUAGAUGUCGAAACACAGUCCCCUAAAUUACAUCCAUCUUCGCCUCAUUCAAGAGAUAUUUAUUCCUCUUCAGAAUUGGCAGGAUCUAGAAGUCAUAGUGAAAGCCCUGUUAUCUCUUCUGUUCAGUUUAGUGCAGAUUUACAGUCAAGAGCUUCUGGAAUUGAUAUGAAUUCCAAGCCUGCUGCUGCUUCUGAGGUUCUGGAAUCAAAAGAACAGGUAGUAGGAAUGAAAACUUCUGCAGUGCCAAAAAGGGUGAACGACGUAUUCUGGGAACAGUUCCUAACUGAGACUCCUGGUUCAUCUGACACCCAGGAGGUCCAGUCAGAAAUAAGGGAUACUGAUGUCAGAAAAAAUGAAAAUAAGCCAACUGAUCAUGGGAAGCUUUGGUUGAACUCAAAGCCUGUAGAUUACCUUACAGAACAGAUGGGUUAUCUUACACCAUCAGAAAGAAUGUAAUGGUGGUUUUUUUGUUAAGUUCAACUUCUUGAUGUUUUAGGGGCCGAGUGUAUUAUUAAUUUUACAUAGAGGGACCAUUACUUGAUGCAAUGUAUAAUCUUGGGCUGGAAAGCAUGAGAACAUGGGUGUGAGUCUGAGAAUGGUCACUUUGUGCAAAAACAUGCUGGAUGGUAGGUCCGCAGACCACCCCUCCCAAGACUCUGUAAAGCUGGAAGAAACAUUGUGCAAUGCUGUUUUUAUUAGAUGAUUAUGAAAGUCAUUUUAUCUGUUUACGGUUGUAUCAAUAUCAAUCAGUUGGUUGCAUUGAUUCCAUUUCAAAAUCAUACGAAUCAGCAAAGGCUAUUAUUGGUAUGUACCUAUAGGUGGGUACAUUGACAACUUCAGCACUAACUGUAGAAAACAUAGAGUUGUUUGUGCAGUUCUACAAAAUUGAUCGUUGUACUGGUGUAAGGAGUUUAUUCUGAGGGAAAAACUAUCUUUAUGAUUUUGAAUUGAAAAAUAUCAAGUAAUACCUUUGCAUAUGCCA